GUGCUUGCUUUGGCAGCACAUAUACUAAAAUUGGAAAAAUACAGAGAAAAUUAGCAUGGCCCCUGCCCAAGGAUAACAUGCAAAUUCAUGAAGUGUUCCAUAUUUUU
Molecule: small nuclear RNA, 107 nt
Filed under: Jaculus jaculus (lesser Egyptian jerboa)
Lineage: Eukaryota; Metazoa; Chordata; Mammalia; Rodentia; Dipodidae
Source: RNAcentral